GGAAGAGGUAGGUGGAAUUUCCGGUGUAGGGUAAAAUCCCGUAGAUAUCGGAAGGAAUACCAGAAGCGAAGGCGACCUACUGGGACAUUACUGACGCUGAGGCUCGAAAGCGUGGGGAGCAAACAGGAUUAGAUACCCUGGUAGUCCACGCCCUAAACCGAUGAACACUAGUCGUUACGGAGCUAGUCUCUGUAGUGACGCAGCUAACGCAUUAAGUGUUCCGCCUGGGGAGUACGGUCGCAAGAUUAAAACUCAAAGGAAUAGACGGGGACCCGCACAAGCGGUGGAGCAUGUGGUUUAAUUCGAAGAUACGCGAAGAACCUUACCAAGGCUUGACAUGUUAGGAAUCUUGUAGAAAUAUGAGAGUGCUAGCUUGCUAGAACCUAAACACAGGUGCUGCAUGGCCGUCGUCAGCUCGUGUCGUGAGAUGUUGGGUUAAGUCCCGCAACGAGCGCAACCCUCGUCCUUAGUUGCCAGCGGUUCGGCCGGGAACUCUAAGGAGACUGCCUGCGUAAGCGGGAGGAAGGUGGGGAUGAUGUCAGGUCAUCACGGCCCUUAUGCCUUGGGCAACACACGUGCUACAAUGGGACGUACAAAGAGUCGCAAUACCGCGAGGUGGAGCCAAUCUUAAAGACGUCUCUCAGUUCGGAUUGUAGUCUGCAACUCGACUACAUGAAGUCGGAAUCGCUAGUAAUCGUAGAUCAGCUAUGCUACGGUGAAUACGUUCCCGGGUCUUGUACUCACCGCCCGUCACACCAUGGGAGUUGAUAUAGCCUUAAGUCAGGAUGCUAACCGCAAGGAGGCUACUGCCC
This 812-nucleotide ribosomal RNA is filed under the name uncultured Campylobacter sp. RNAcentral's name for it is "bacterial SSU rRNA". It matches the Rfam family "Bacterial small subunit ribosomal RNA", at positions 650 to 1458 of the family's 1533-position model. The record is from RNAcentral. Lineage: Bacteria; Pseudomonadati; Campylobacterota; Epsilonproteobacteria; Campylobacterales; Campylobacteraceae.